UACGUAGGGGGCAAGCGUUGUCCGGAAUCACUGGGCGUAAAGGGUUCGCAGGCGGAAAUGCAAGUCAGUUGUGAAAGGCAGAGGCUCAACCUCUGUAAGCAAUUGAAACUGUAUUUCUUGAGAUGUGGAGAGGCAAGUGGAAUUCCUAGUGUAGCGGUGAAAUGCGUAGAUAUUAGGAAGAAUACCGGUGGCGAAGGCGACUUGCUGGACACAAACUGACGCUGAGGAACGAAAGCGUGGGUAGCAAACAGG
This 252-nucleotide ribosomal RNA is filed under the name Peptoniphilus koenoeneniae. RNAcentral's name for it is "partial 16S ribosomal RNA". It matches the Rfam family "Bacterial small subunit ribosomal RNA", at positions 524 to 776 of the family's 1533-position model. RNAcentral also lists the same sequence under 1 other name. Lineage: Bacteria; Bacillati; Bacillota; Tissierellia; Tissierellales; Peptoniphilaceae. The record is from RNAcentral.